GAGUUUGAUCCUGGCUCAGGAUGAACGCUGGCGGCGUGCCUAAUACAUGCAAGUCGAGCGAACCACUUCGGUGGUGAGCGGCGAACGGGUGAGUAACACGUAGGUGAUCUGCCCAUCAGACGGGGACAACGAUUGGAAACGAUCGCUAAUACCGGAUAGGACGAAAGUUUAAAGGUGCUUCUGGCACCGCUGAUGGAUGAGCCUGCGGCGCAUUAGCUAGUUGGUAGGGUAAAGGCCUACCAAGGCGACGAUGCGUAGCCGACCUGAGAGGGUGAACGGCCACACUGGGACUGAGACACGGCCCAAACUCCUACGGGAGGCAGCAGUGGGGAAUAUUGCACAAUGGGGGAAACCCUGAUGCAGCGACGCCGCGUGAGCGAAGAAGUAUUUCGGUAUGUAAAGCUCUAUCAGCAGGGAAGAAGAAAUGACGGUACCUGACUAAGAAGCACCGGCUAAAUACGUGCCAGCCGCCGCGGUAAUUC
Molecule: ribosomal RNA, 482 nt
Filed under: uncultured bacterium
Lineage: Bacteria
Description: bacterial SSU rRNA
Rfam family: Bacterial small subunit ribosomal RNA
Source: RNAcentral